AUAGUAUUGGGCAUCCUUCUUAUUUGUGUUAUUUGAUGCUGAGUGUGAGCACUUUCUCUGUGUCAGGGUAAGCCAAUGAUCUGAGUAGGGCUUGAUAAUGCCAUUGGAGAGUCUGACAAGAUCAAAGUGUAAAUGGGAGAGAAGAGGAAAAGAAGGAAAGAAAUGAGAGCCACAUAUCUACUGGCAAAAGGAAAAGUGCAAAAUUUCCAAGGGCAGGCUGCUGAAGGCCUGCCAGAGCGGGUAAGUGGAGAGGCUGGGCCAGAGAGGCAGAGGGGCUGCUCACCUAGAUCAGGCCCAAGAAGCGGUUUGAGUGGGUCUCACUGUGUCAGGAUAGGAUGGAAGGCAAAGGUUGUUGAAGUUAUGAAUGUCUGUUUCACAGAACUAAAUAUGAACAGCUUUAUUAAGGAGAUGGCUCAUCCCAGGAUAAAGACAGCAACAGAUGAUAUAGAGAAGAUUACACCAAACAAAUCUGCUGUAAACUGCAUUUACCCUUAGGAGAUGAUAAACUAAAGAUGAAGGGAAGGGAUAAUGAAUGAAUGUUAAGAGCUAAAAACUAUAAAACUCUUAGAAGAAAAUAUAGCAGUAAAUCAACAAAACCUUGGAUUAGGCAACAGUUUCUCAGAUAUCUCAUCAAAAGCACAAGCGACAAAAUUAAAAAAUAGAUAAAUUGGACUUCAUCAAAGUAAAACUUUUGCGUUCCAAAGAAUACCAUCAAGAAAGUAAAAAGACAACCCACAGAAUGGAAGAAAAUAUUUGCAAAUCAUAUAUCUUAAGAGAAUUGUAGCCAGAAUAUAAAAACUCUCACAACUCAACAAUAAAAAAACAAAUAACUCAAUUUUGAAAGUGGACAAAGGGAUAGACCUACAAAUGUUCAAUAAACACAUGAAAAGAUACUCAGUAUCAUUAGCCAUCAGGGAAAUGCCAGUCAAAACCACAAUAGAUACCAUUUUAUGCCCACUAGAAUGGCUAUAAGAUAGAUAAUACUAAAUUUUGUCAAAGAUUUGGAGAAAUCAAACCCUUACACAUUGUUGAUGAGAAUGUAAAAUGGUACACAAUUUUUGGAAAACAAUCUGGCAGUUCUUCAGAGUUAAAACAAAAAGUUACCUUGUGACCUAGCAAUCCCAUUCGAAGAGAGUUAAAAACAUAUUUUCCAACAAAAGCUUGUACAUGAAUGUUUAUAGCAACAUUAUUCAUUAUGGCCAAAAAGUGGAAACAGCCCAAAUAAAUGUUCCUCAGCUGAUGAGUGGGUAAAUAAACGUGGUAUGAACUUAUGUUUUAUUUAUUCAUUAAACCAUA
This 1296-nucleotide long non-coding RNA is filed under the name Homo sapiens (human). Its description in RNAcentral is "long non-coding RNA NONHSAT169491.1". The record is from RNAcentral. Lineage: Eukaryota; Metazoa; Chordata; Mammalia; Primates; Hominidae.